Non-coding RNA from Cricetulus griseus (Chinese hamster), 2982 nucleotides. The record is from RefSeq and is a predicted model, not a curated record. NCBI's taxonomy places the organism in Eukaryota, Metazoa, Chordata, Mammalia, Rodentia, Cricetidae.
GUACCACCUGCGCAAGGGCGGCCUAGCUCUCCUGUUGCCCAGCACGGGAUGCGCGUGGGUGCGUGUCGCCGUGGCACUACUGCGCUUGCUGUGCGGUGCGGGGAUUUGUGGCGGAGCCGGAGCUUGCUGGCCAGAGGCCCCGGUAGGAAAAUCGCCGGGCACGGAGUUCCGGUGAUGCCUGCGCUUUCAGCUUUGUAGACUGACUGGUGCAUGGCACUACGCUGUUUGGAGCCUGAGUUGUACAGGUCGGGAAAAUGAAUUUAAUAUGAGUGACCAAACGGGGCUAUUGGCGAGAACUAGAACACACUACAUUUGCAAAGUACUUUGCACAAGGGAGCUCUGGAGGCCUGGUCUGGCAGGCAGAGCACACCACACCCACUGUCACUCCUGACGACUGACAGCAGUGAAGAUCCUGGUAGAGCUGGCCCGCAGUGGAAUGCAGGCGCUCCAUCUUCAGCAUCGCACUCCCAGCAGCUGCCGGGUCAAGGCCAGGGCAUCCUAUGUGGACGAGACCCUGUUUGGCAGCCCUACUGGAACCCGGCCCACCCCUCCAGACUUUGACCCACCCUGGGUGCGGAACUGUAACAGGUCGAGAGGAGUGGGCCCAGGACCACCGAAGGUCUCGCCAGUCAAGAGAGACUGUGAGUCCACCCCCUCCAGGGGCAGCAUCCCAAACCUCACACCAAGGAAGAAAAACAAAUACAGGUUGAUUGGCCACACCCCAUCCUUCUGUGAUGAGUCAUUGUUUGGCUCCCGGCCACAGGGCCUCAGCAAGGAGGGGUCUCGGACAGCCGUGGGGGAUGCUGCCAAGCUCUGGACCCUUUUCUGGACUCCACCAGCCACCCCUAGGGGUGGCCACUCACCUCACCCCAGGGAGACCCCACUUCGAGCCAUUCACCCCGUUGGACCCACCAGGACAGAGCCCAGCAUGACCAGGGGCUCCCAGAAGACACCCCAGGAGGGGUUGGAUGCUCCCCACUCUCUGGAGCAGAGGCGUUCCCAUUCAGUCACCCACCUGAGUGUCCCCAGCAUGGGUCAUCUAGAUGCCAGUGUCCCCCAGACCAAUGGACCUUGGAGUCCCCGGCCUUCCACAUCAAGGAUGACUGUCCAGAGUCCCCUGGUCACUUCCAAGGCACAGUCAGGCAGUGUUUCAGGACCAGCUGCCCUACAACGAGGGACCGGCCCCCUCAAGCCAAAGCCUCCUUGGAAGUGAGACUCUCACCAGGUUGCUGGCACCCUCCAGAAAGACCUGGCCGAUGUCCAGAUGUUCUCUGAUGGCCCUCAUCAAGUCUUCAGGGAACACUCCCUCCAGAGCAUCUGGGUGGGACUCCACGUAGGACAUCAGGGUCACCAGCCCCACUUUUUGUAUGGCCUCAUCCAGGACUGUCAUGAUUCUCUUGGCCUCGAUGGUGUUGAGCUUGGAUUUGGAUGGGGUCAAGGUCUUCAUUGGCAUAACUGGGAUUAUGUCUGUACUCAGUGGGAUUCUAUGGAUGGCCAGGCCAUCGUAGGAAGGGGGCAUGCUGAAGAUGUCCAAGGCCAAGGCCAUCUCUGGAGCGGCUGACUUUGCCUCUGUAUACCCCGGCAUUGAGACGUCAGCCAACUCAAGGUUCUCCUGGCUUUUCAGUCAGCAACCCUGCAAAGGAAGGGGUGGCUGUUAGGCUCUGCCAUGAUGUGAUGCACUGUCCUGCCUCAGCCUCCAACACAGCAGAGCCACCAGUCACAGAGAAGACCAGCUUACAAGUCAUUCACCUCAGGGGCUUUGUCAUGGUGAGAAAGCACACUAACAGUAGUCUUGGUGGGACUGUCCAUCAAAUAGUCCUGUCCACUGUGUCUGAGGAACAGGGACUCUGGCUGAGGGAAAGCCGCAGGGAUGGGAACUGCCAAGCUCCCAGAUCCUUCCUGAAGACCCUACUAAUCCAGAGCCUGAAGUGGGAGGUUGUGGGGACCUUCUUGGCAUUAGUCUGAGGUCUGAAGCCUGGUUGGUCAGCGUUGUUUUCAUUGCUAUGCUUAGCCUCCAUGUGUUUCUGUUGUUUGUGAUCAGAGAGGCUCAGCUGAUCAGAUAUCUAUUCAAAGAGCCCCUUAGAUGAUCAAACAGCACAGGAACUGAUUGAUGAUGGGCCCAGAUUAAGAUGGAGGAGAAAGCGCUAUGCAAAGAAAGCCACAGCAGACUAUCUUUAGUUCAUCAAACCACAGACAGCGAGGCAAUUGGAUAAGUGUCCAGAUGUCUAAGGACAGAGAAGAGAGGCUCCUUGGCUGGACAAAACAUACCCAGAGUGAGAACCUUCUUCAAGGUCGAAGACCCUGCCCAAGGAGGCACCAACUUGCUUCCCUGGGACUCAUUCCCACUUCCUGCUCUCUUACCCCAGAGUGAGUUCCCUGGGUGCCUAAAGAGAUUUCUGGGCAGCUGUGGCGCCUCUCUCUGGCUGCUCUGAGGAUGAAGGGUGCCUGUCCCGAGGCCACAGGAUAAAUGAAGGAAGGGUUGGAUGGACACACUUUUCCAAGUUAACCUCAGAGUUCUCCAGGCAUCAAUCAAAACUCCCAGGAUUCUUGGGAGAUGAAGGCUGGAAACUCAGAGCCACGGGGAAUGUUUCCAAUUUGCUUUCAGCCAAAUUGCCUCUUUUGCUUUAAAGGGCAAGCUUGUUUUCUUUGAUUACCAAGACACCCAUCAGUUCUUGACAGCUCAUUUGGGUGAACAGGGGAAGGGGAAGGUAUGGGGAGAGGGGUGAAUGAUGACAUCAGCAAAAUUACCCAAGAAUCUUUUCCUUGAAUUCUAAUGAGUGUUCCAUGUCCUUUUUUGAUGCCACCAAUGUUCAUAUUGAAAUUGUUGUCAACCCAGCCUCCCCCUUUUUAAGAUUCCUGCUCUGAGAGUCAAGUGGGGGCUGCAGAUGCACCAGGCUUUAAUUGUCAUGAAUUCUAUUGAUUUAUCUUUAUCAUGCAACUGUGUCUCCACUUCAUGCAAAUAGACCUACUGGAUAUUUAUUA